UGAGGCAGCCAGCGCAGGGGCUUCUGCUGAGGGGGCAGGCGGAGCUUGAGGAAACCGCAGAUAAGUUUUUUUCUCUUUGAAAGAUAGAGAUUAAUACAACUACUUAAAAAAUAUAGUCAAUAGGUUACUAAGAUAUUGCUUAGCGUUAAGUUUUUAACGUAAUUUUAAUAGCUUAAGAUUUUAAGAGAAAAUAUGAAGACUUAGAAGAGUAGCAUGAGGAAGGAAAAGAUAAAAGGUUUCUAAAACAUGACGGAGGUUGAGAUGAAGCUUCUUCAUGGAGUAAAAAAUGUAUUUAAAAGAAAAUUGAGAGAAAGGACUACAGAGCCCCGAAUUAAUACCAAUAGAAGGGCAAUGCUUUUAGAUUAAAAUGAAGGUGACUUAAACAGCUUAAAGUUUAGUUUAAAAGUUGUAGGUGAUUAAAAUAAUUUGAAGGCGAUCUUUUAAAAAGAGAUUAAACCGAAGGUGAUUAAAAGACCUUGAAAUCCAUGACGCAGGGAGAAUUGCGUCAUUUAAAGCCUAGUUAACGCAUUUACUAAACGCAGACGAAAAUGGAAAGAUUAAUUGGGAGUGGUAGGAUGAAACAAUUUGGAGAAGAUAGAAGUUUGAAGUGGAAAACUGGAAGACAGAAGUACGGGAAGGCGAAGAAAAGAAUAGAGAAGAUAGGGAAAUUAGAAGAUAAAAACAUACUUUUAGAAGAAAAAAGAUAAAUUUAAACCUGAAAAGUAGGAAGCAGAAGAAAAAAGACAAGCUAGGAAACAAAAAGCUAAGGGCAAAAUGUACAAACUUAGAAGAAAAUUGGAAGAUAGAAACAAGAUAGAAAAUGAAAAUAUUGUCAAGAGUUUCAGAUAGAAAAUGAAAAACAAGCUAAGACAAGUAUUGGAGAAGUAUAGAAGAUAGAAAAAUAUAAAGCCAAAAAUUGGAUAAAAUAGCACUGAAAAAAUGAGGAAAUUAUUGGUAACCAAUUUAUUUUAAAAGCCCAUCAAUUUAAUUUCUGGUGGUGCAGAAGUUAGAAGGUAAAGCUUGAGAAGAUGAGGGUGUUUACGUAGACCAGAACCAAUUUAGAAGAAUACUUGAAGCUAGAAGGGGAAGUUGGUUAAAAAUCACAUCAAAAAGCUACUAAAAGGACUGGUGUAAUUUAAAAAAAACUAAGGCAGAAGGCUUUUGGAAGAGUUAGAAGAAUUUGGAAGGCCUUAAAUAUAGUAGCUUAGUUUGAAAAAUGUGAAGGACUUUCGUAACGGAAGUAAUUCAAGAUCAAGAGUAAUUACCAACUUAAUGUUUUUGCAUUGGACUUUGAGUUAAGAUUAUUUUUUAAAUCCUGAGGACUAGCAUUAAUUGACAGCUGACCCAGGUGCUACACAGAAGUGGAUUCAGUGAAUCUAGGAAGACAGCAGCAGACAGGAUUCCAGGAACCAGUGUUUGAUGAAGCUAGGACUGAGGAGCAAGCGAGCAAGCAGCAGUUCGUGGUGAAGAUAGGAAAAGAGUCCAGGAGCCAGUGCGAUUUGGUGAAGGAAGCUAGGAAGAAGGAAGGAGCGCUAACGAUUUGGUGGUGAAGCUAGGAAAAAGGAUUCCAGGAAGGAGCGAGUGCAAUUUGGUGAUGAAGGUAGCAGGCGGCUUGGCUUGGCAACCACACGGAGGAGGCGAGCAGGCGUUGUGCGUAGAGGAUCCUAGACCAGCAUGCCAGUGUGCCAAGGCCACAGGGAAAGCGAGUGGUUGGUAAAAAUCCGUGAGGUCGGCAAUAUGUUGUUUUUCUGGAACUUACUUAUGGUAACCUUUUAUUUAUUUUCUAAUAUAAUGGGGGAGUUUCGUACUGAGGUGUAAAGGGAUUUAUAUGGGGACGUAGGCCGAUUUCCGGGUGUUGUAGGUUUCUCUUUUUCAGGCUUAUACUCAUGAAUCUUGUCUGAAGCUUUUGAGGGCAGACUGCCAAGUCCUGGAGAAAUAGUAGAUGGCAAGUUUGUGGGUUUUUUUUUUUUACACGAAUUUGAGGAAAACCAAAUGAAUUUGAUAGCCAAAUUGAGACAAUUUCAGCAAAUCUGUAAGCAGUUUGUAUGUUUAGUUGGGGUAAUGAAGUAUUUCAGUUUUGUGAAUAGAUGACCUGUUUUUACUUCCUCACCCUGAAUUCGUUUUGUAAAUGUAGAGUUUGGAUGUGUAACUGAGGCGGGGGGGAGUUUUCAGUAUUUUUUUUUGUGGGGGUGGGGGCAAAAUAUGUUUUCAGUUCUUUUUCCCUUAGGUCUGUCUAGAAUCCUAAAGGCAAAUGACUCAAGGUGUAACAGAAAACAAGAAAAUCCAAUAUCAGGAUAAUCAGACCACCACAGGUUUACAGUUUAUAGAAACUAGAGCAGUUCUCACGUUGAGGUCUGUGGAAGAGAUGUCCAUUGGAGAAAUGGCUGGUAGUUACUCUUUUUUCCCCCCACCCCCUUAAUCAGACUUUAAAAGUGCUUAACCCCUUAAACUUGUUAUUUUUUACUUGAAGCAUUUUGGGAUGGUCUUAACAGGGAAGAGAGAGGGUGGGGGAGAAAAUGUUUUUUUCUAAGAUUUUCCACAGAUGCUAUAGUACUAUUGACAAACUGGGUUAGAGAAGGAGUGUACCGCUGUGCUGUUGGCACGAACACCUUCAGGGACUGGAGCUGCUUUUAUCCUUGGAAGAGUAUUCCCAGUUGAAGCUGAAAAGUACAGCACAGUGCAGCUUUGGUUCAUAUUCAGUCAUCUCAGGAGAACUUCAGAAGAGCUUGAGUAGGCCAAAUGUUGAAGUUAAGUUUUCCAAUAAUGUGACUUCUUAAAAGUUUUAUUAAAGGGGAGGGGCAAAUAUUGGCAAUUAGUUGGCAGUGGCCUGUUACGGUUGGGAUUGGUGGGGUGGGUUUAGGUAAUUGUUUAGUUUAUGAUUGCAGAUAAACUCAUGCCAGAGAACUUAAAGUCUUAGAAUGGAAAAAGUAAAGAAAUAUCAACUUCCAAGUUGGCAAGUAACUCCCAAUGAUUUAGUUUUUUUCCCCCCAGUUUGAAUUGGGAAGCUGGGGGAAGUUAAAUAUGAGCCACUGGGUGUACCAGUGCAUUAAUUUGGGCAAGGAAAGUGUCAUAAUUUGAUACUGUAUCUGUUUUCCUUCAAAGUAUAGAGCUUUUGGGGAAGGAAAGUAUUGAACUGGGGGUUGGUCUGGCCUACUGGGCUGACAUUAACUACAAUUAUGGGAAAUGCAAAAGUUGUUUGGAUAUGGUAGUGUGUGGUUCUCUUUUGGAAUUUUUUUCAGGUGAUUUAAUAAUAAUUUAAAACUACUAUAGAAACUGCAGAGCAAAGGAAGUGGCUUAAUGAUCCUGAAGGGAUUUCUUCUGAUGGUAGCUUUUGUAUUAUCAAACAGGUAUCUCUUCGUUAUCAGAAGAGUUGCUUCAUUUCAUCUGGGAGCAGAAAACAGCAGGCAGCUGUUAACAGAUAAGUUUAACUUGCAUCUGCAGUAUUGCAUGUUAGGGAUAAGUGCUUAUUUUUAAGAGCUGUGGAGUUCUUAAAUAUCAACCAUGGCACUUUCUCCUGACCCCUUCCCUAGGGGAUUUCAGGAUUGAGAAAUUUUUCCAUCGAGCCUUUUUAAAAUUGUAGGACUUGUUCCUGUGGGCUUCAGUGAUGGGAUAGUACACUUCACUCAGAGGCAUUUGCAUCUUUAAAUAAUUUCUUAAAAGCCUCUAAAGUGAUCAGUGCCUUGAUGCCAACUAAGGAAAUUUGUUUAGCAUUGAAUCUCUGAAGGCUCUAUGAAAGGAAUAGCAUGAUGUGCUGUUAGAAUCAGAUGUUACUGCUAAAAUUUACAUGUUGUGAUGUAAAUUGUGUAGAAAACCAUUAAAUCAUUCAAAAUAAUAAACUAUUUUUAUUAGAGAAUGUAUACUUUUAGAAAGCUGUCUCCUUAUUUAAAUAAAAUAGUGUUUGUCUGUAGUUCAGUGUUGGGGCAAUCUUGGGGGGGAUUCUUCUCUAAUCUUUCAGAAACUUUGUCUGCGAACACUCUUUAAUGGACCAGAUCAGGAUUUGAGCGGAAGAACGAAUGUAACUUUAAGGCAGGAAAGACAAAUUUUAUUCUUCAUAAAGUGAUGAGCAUAUAAUAAUUCCAGGCACAUGGCAAUAGAGGCCCUCUAAAUAAGGAAUAAAUAACCUCUUAGACAGGUGGGAGAUUAUGAUCAGAGUAAAAGGUAAUUACACAUUUUAUUUCCAGAAAGUCAGGGGUCUAUAAAUUGACAGUGAUUAGAGUAAUACUUUUUCACAUUUCCAAAGUUUGCAUGUUAACUUUAAAUGCUUACAAUCUUAGAGUGGUAGGCAAUGUUUUACACUAUUGACCUUAUAUAGGGAAGGGAGGGGGUGCCUGUGGGGUUUUAAAGAAUUUUCCUUUGCAGAGGCAUUUCAUCCUUCAUGAAGCCAUUCAGGAUUUUGAAUUGCAUAUGAGUGCUUGGCUCUUCCUUCUGUUCUAGUGAGUGUAUGAGACCUUGCAGUGAGUUUAUCAGCAUACUCAAAAUUUUUUUCCUGGAAUUUGGAGGGAUGGGAGGAGGGGGUGGGGCUUACUUGUUGUAGCUUUUUUUUUUUUUACAGACUUCACAGAGAAUGCAGUUGUCUUGACUUCAGGUCUGUCUGUUCUGUUGGCAAGUAAAUGCAGUACUGUUCUGAUCCCGCUGCUAUUAGAAUGCAUUGUGAAACGACUGGAGUAUGAUUAAAAGUUGUGUUCCCCAAUGCUUGGAGUAGUGAUUGUUGAAGGAAAAAAUCCAGCUGAGUGAUAAAGGCUGAGUGUUGAGGAAAUUUCUGCAGUUUUAAGCAGUCGUAUUUGUGAUUGAAGCUGAGUACAUUUUGCUGGUGUAUUUUUAGGUAAAAUGCUUUUUGUUCAUUUCUGGUGGUGGGAGGGGACUGAAGCCUUUAGUCUUUUCCAGAUGCAACCUUAAAAUCAGUGACAAGAAACAUUCCAAACAAGCAACAGUCUUCAAGAAAUUAAACUGGCAAGUGGAAAUGUUUAAACAGUUCAGUGAUCUUUAGUGCAUUGUUUAUGUGUGGGUUUCUCUCUCCCCUCCCUUGGUCUUAAUUCUUACAUGCAGGAACACUCAGCAGACACACGUAUGCGAAGGGCCAGAGAAGCCAGACCCAGUAAGAAAAAAUAGCCUAUUUACUUUAAAUAAACCAAACAUUCCAUUUUAAAUGUGGGGAUUGGGAACCACUAGUUCUUUCAGAUGGUAUUCUUCAGACUAUAGAAGGAGCUUCCAGUUGAAUUCACCAGUGGACAAAAUGAGGAAAACAGGUGAACAAGCUUUUUCUGUAUUUACAUACAAAGUCAGAUCAGUUAUGGGACAAUAGUAUUGAAUAGAUUUCAGCUUUAUGCUGGAGUAACUGGCAUGUGAGCAAACUGUGUUGGCGUGGGGGUGGAGGGGUGAGGUGGGCGCUAAGCCUUUUUUUAAGAUUUUUCAGGUACCCCUCACUAAAGGCACCGAAGGCUUAAAGUAGGACAACCAUGGAGCCUUCCUGUGGCAGGAGAGACAACAAAGCGCUAUUAUCCUAAGGUCAAGAGAAGUGUCAGCCUCACCUGAUUUUUAUUAGUAAUGAGGACUUGCCUCAACUCCCUCUUUCUGGAGUGAAGCAUCCGAAGGAAUGCUUGAAGUACCCCUGGGCUUCUCUUAACAUUUAAGCAAGCUGUUUUUAUAGCAGCUCUUAAUAAUAAAGCCCAAAUCUCAAGCGGUGCUUGAAGGGGAGGGAAAGGGGGAAAGCGGGCAACCACUUUUCCCUAGCUUUUCCAGAAGCCUGUUAAAAGCAAGGUCUCCCCACAAGCAACUUCUCUGCCACAUCGCCACCCCGUGCCUUUUGAUCUAGCACAGACCCUUCACCCCUCACCUCGAUGCAGCCAGUAGCUUGGAUCCUUGUGGGCAUGAUCCAUAAUCGGUUUCAAGGUAACGAUGGUGUCGAGGUCUUUGGUGGGUUGAACUAUGUUAGAAAAGGCCAUUAAUUUGCCUGCAAAUUGUUAACAGAAGGGUAUUAAAACCACAGCUAAGUAGCUCUAUUAUAAUACUUAUCCAGUGACUAAAACCAACUUAAACCAGUAAGUGGAGAAAUAACAUGUUCAAGAACUGUAAUGCUGGGUGGGAACAUGUAACUUGUAGACUGGAGAAGAUAGGCAUUUGAGUGGCUGAGAGGGCUUUUGGGUGGGAAUGCAAAAAUUCUCUGCUAAGACUUUUUCAGGUGAACAUAACAGACUUGGCCAAGCUAGCAUCUUAGCGGAAGCUGAUCUCCAAUGCUCUUCAGUAGGGUCAUGAAGGUUUUUCUUUUCCUGAGAAAACAACACGUAUUGUUUUCUCAGGUUUUGCUUUUUGGCCUUUUUCUAGCUUAAAAAAAAAAAAAGCAAAAGAUGCUGGUGGUUGGCACUCCUGGUUUCCAGGACGGGGUUCAAAUCCCUGCGGCGUCUUUGCUUUGACUACUAAUCUGUCUUCAGGACUCUUUCUGUAUUUCUCCUUUUCUCUGCAGGUGCUAGUUCUUGGAGUUUUGGGGAGGUGGGAGGUAACAGCACAAUAUCUUUGAACUAUAUACAUCCUUGAUGUAUAAUUUGUCAGGAGCUUGACUUGAUUGUAUAUUCAUAUUUACACGAGAACCUAAUAUAACUGCCUUGUCUUUUUCAGGUAAUAGCCUGCAGCUGGUGUUUUGAGAAGCCCUACUGCUGAAAACUUAACAAUUUUGUGUAAUAAAAAUGGAGAAGCUCUAA
Long non-coding RNA from Homo sapiens (human), 6695 nucleotides. The record is from Ensembl. Lineage: Eukaryota; Metazoa; Chordata; Mammalia; Primates; Hominidae.